This is a small nuclear RNA of Otolemur garnettii (small-eared galago), 104 nucleotides long. NCBI's taxonomy places the organism in Eukaryota, Metazoa, Chordata, Mammalia, Primates, Galagidae. The record is from Ensembl.
AUACUUGCUUCUGCAGGAUGUACACUACAAUUGGAUUGAAACAGAGAUCAGCAUAGCCCCUGUGCAAAGAUGAUACACACAUUUGUGAAGCAUCCCACAUUUAA